This 229-nucleotide ribosomal RNA is filed under the name Cryptosporidium sp. piscine genotype 4. RNAcentral describes it as "partial small subunit ribosomal RNA". It matches the Rfam family "Eukaryotic small subunit ribosomal RNA", at positions 495 to 723 of the family's 1831-position model. The record is from RNAcentral. Lineage: Eukaryota; Apicomplexa; Conoidasida; Eucoccidiorida; Cryptosporidiidae.
AACCGAUUCUGUAAUUGGAAUGAACUAAGCUUAAAACCCUUUAUGAGUAACAAUUGGAGGGCAAGUCUGGUGCCAGCAGCCGCGGUAAUUCCAGCUCCAAUAGCGUAUAUUAAAGUUGUUGCAGUUAAAAAGCUCGUAGUUGGACUUCGAUUAAUAUAUUAUUUGGCUCCCAGAGCCACUUAUUAUCAUUAAUCUUCCCCCUUAUGCCUCCGCGUAAGGGAUUUUACUU